RNAcentral lists this long non-coding RNA (586 nucleotides) under Pongo abelii (Sumatran orangutan). RNAcentral describes it as "lincRNA". Lineage: Eukaryota; Metazoa; Chordata; Mammalia; Primates; Hominidae. The record is from RNAcentral.
AGCUAAGUCAACUGCUUUUCUUCAAAUUCAGAUUUAAUCCGUGAGCGAAAUGAGUCACUGGCUCAUCCAGUUAAGAUCAUCACCCACUUUCCUAACAAAACUUCUCUUCAAAGAAGGACUCGCUCAUCCAUCAGGUGGACCUCCACAGGAACAAAUAAUAUCCAUGUCAGGCGGCACCAAACCUAAAUCUGCUUCUGCCUCAGCAGACAGGACAUGUUGAGUUUGCCCAGUGAGUGCUGCAGGAUACUGGCGGGAGGACAAGAGAGAGGAAGUUCACCUACAUGUCUAUGUUCAGAAGCUGCCUUGAUGCCACAUGAGGGAGACUGGAAACGCUGAAGGAUGACCACUGCUCAGCAGCAGUCAACCAGUGAUGGAUGAGAUUUGGUGCACAAAUACCCCAGCUCCCUUGCCUCUCAGUUUGGAUAAUCCUGAAAAGGUAUGUACUACACUAUUUCUUCUGAGAUUAGGCCCUAGUUACCCAUAGUGGUAGCUAAAUAUAGUAGUUGGCUGUAUUCUCUAUCACUUCUUGAAUCCCCUGCCGGUGUUCUCUGCACCUCCUUAAUAAACCACUUGAAACAAAAAUCAA